AGCCACCAGGAAGGACAGACUGGUAUUCUCCAUUGCAGGCUGGUGCCGCUGUCCACGGCUGGUGGGUCUUCCUUGGGGACAUCACCCAGUUAUGGCCUUUCAUUACACCUACAAAAUCCCUUCCCAGCAGCACCUGGAUUAGGGUUUGGCUGAGUGGGGAACUGGAGCCACGUUGACCACAGGUGGCUCCUCCAUAGAAUGGAGCUAGUAGGCUUUUGGGAAGCUUGCUAUGUGCUGUAUGGGAGGUUUUCAUUCUGGCCUCAUACUAGGGAUCAGGACAGAGUGGUAACUGCCACAGCCCUCGCAGAAUGCUCUCCGGACGCCAGGCACCUUCUCAACACUUCCAAUCCUAACCAUGCCCCAUCUGGCACAUGAAGAUCAGAAGGUACCUGUCAAAGACGGGAGUCAGUCAAGUUACCUAAUCCUAAGCUCUUCCAGAAACCAGCAGGGUCCAGAAGUCAAUAUUUUAUGGCAGGUGCUCUGCUAGGCUUUACAUGGAGAACAGGUGGGACAGGAGGGACUUCAAGGUGAGGAGAGUGGAGUAGAGGGACGUGUUCACCUACCCCUGUCAUUUGGCAGACAGGUUGCAGGCCCCUGUCCCCUCGCCACAGCCCUCGAUACCCUUCCCCUAUACAGCAGACAUCGUUAGCCUCGUGUGAUCGCCGAGGACACGGAGAGUGGGUAAGGCAAGGAGUCACUCCUAGGUCUGUGUGGCUUGGAGGACCAUCCCCUGUCGGCUACUCACAACCUUGGAAGAAGUACAAGUUUGGCUUUGGGUUCUUGCACUCAAGCUCCGAGGCUGGGUUCUGGGACAACUUCCUUCUGGAAAUGCGAGCUGGCCGUUCCCCAGGCACACCAUCUCUACCAUUCCUGCGAUAUUCUCACAUGGCGUGGGAGAGACCCGGAUCAACCAGGUUGUCGGGUGGGCAGAGCUCGGAUGAAUUAUCAGGAACUAUGAAGGUCCACACUUAGAUGGAGGACACCUUCCAGCUUCUUUUCUGCUAGGCCCCUUGCCCGAGUAAACCCCCGCUUCCACAAUGUUGCUCGAGGAUUCCAAAACCAGAAGGCAUGUUCCGCCUGGACAGACACGGAACUUUCUUCUGCUUUGACAGGGGAGACCCAGCUACUCCUUGUGGAGGCCCCUGGAUGCCUCAGCCUGGAGGAUGGUGGAAAUGGCAGAUGCAGCUGGUGACACAGGCCCCUAGGCACUGUGGGAAGAGGUGGUGGCUUCUCGGCUGGCCCAUCCAAAUCCAUGACAACCCUAGCUCUGUGCCAGGGACACAUGCUCAUUCACCAAACUUCAAAGAAGUCAGGUCCGAGCCUGACCCCGACACCUGUCUGGCCACCAGAUGACGAGGCUAGAAACUCAGGAUUUUUUUUUUUUUUUAAACCACUCAACAUAAAAGCCUUGGGUUUUUAUUAUUUUUGUUCUCCUCUCAAUACAUUCCUGGAAACACAGGAAAGCAAAGGCUGGAUGCAUGCUGUUGUUCUGAGGCAACACCCGUCAGUCACAUAGGAGUGCAGGCUUGGUGGCGGCGGUGGUGGGGUGCUCCGGGGCGGCUCAGUCAUCAAGAGUCAGAUGCUCAGCUUUCUGGCCACAAGCUUUAUGUGGGGCUCUGUGCUCAGCAGGCAAUCUGCUUGAGAUUCUUCUCCUCGCUCCCUUUCAAAUAAGUCAAUUUUUAAAACUUUAGGGAAGUGCAAGCUUGGGAGACAGACCUGGACUCCAAUCCUGGACCCCCUUUGUGGUCUUGUACCUGGAAGAUGGGGGUAGGGGGGCUUACUCCUAUGAUAACCUCACUAGGAAGAGCCUGACCCUGUGCCUGGCCGAUGGGGGAACAUUUGGCUUUAUCUUCAGCUGCAGGGAUUGGUCCGCUGCUCCCCAGAACAGCAAGCCCAGGCUGGCCAAUGUGGGGAAUGAACCAGGAUGCAUGUGAAGACUUAAUACCAGUCUACCUAAUUGAGUUUCCUGGACUCUAGAUCAGUGGUUCCCAUGGGAGCUAAAUUGGCCUCAGUUGAGAUAUUUGACCAUUUUUAGUUGGCACAGCUCCCAGAGUGGGAGUUGGCAGGAAGUUGUUAACUGGCAUCUAGUGGGGAGCGAUCAGAGAUGCUAAGCACCCUAUAAUGCACAGCACAGGCUCCUCUACCGCCCCCACCUCCUCCACAUACUGUUCUAGAAUGUCAAUACCAAAUUGUGACACCAGGCUCUGGAAGAUACCUGAUUGACAGGUGUAAUCACAGCUAUUAUUUAUCGAGCAUCUACUAUAUAGGAGACACUUUACAUACAGCAUCUCCACUUGGACAAGCCCCCAAGUCUGGAAUUAACUGCCUGCACUCUGGGAGGAGGAAACCCAGCAGAGUGGCCAUCAAGCUCCUUAUGGCUCCCUUUGUCGUCAAGGGCACAGAUGCAGAGGGAAGUCGGGCUGAUGCCAAAGCCCGCGCGUUUGAUGCCUACACUGCUGGGCACACGAGCCACACAGACCUGCUCACAAAGCUGUGGUGUGGGCUGUGUUAGGAAUCUGGUAGUAAGGAGCUGCUGGAGAGAAGAACAGGCAACUUGGUGCCUAACACAAUGAGUGGAGGGAGGGGAAUGCCCUUGGGACAGGAAGAGUCUCAUUUAAAUCUUUGCAUGCGGGGAAUAUAAAAAAAGAUAGUGAAACGGAUUAUAGGGGCAAGGAGAGAAAAUGAGUGGGAAA
Long non-coding RNA from Canis lupus familiaris (dog), 2693 nucleotides. RefSeq lists it as uncharacterized. The transcript has 3 exons. Lineage: Eukaryota; Metazoa; Chordata; Mammalia; Carnivora; Canidae. The record is from RefSeq and is a predicted model, not a curated record.